Long non-coding RNA from Piliocolobus tephrosceles (Ugandan red Colobus), 978 nucleotides. RefSeq lists it as uncharacterized. The record is from RefSeq and is a predicted model, not a curated record. Lineage: Eukaryota; Metazoa; Chordata; Mammalia; Primates; Cercopithecidae. The transcript has 4 exons.
CUGAAGCUUGCCAACCCUCACUGUAGAUUGUUUCAGAGGAUUUCCAGAGGCCCCCUUCCACCUCCCUACAUUGUGCUUAUGGGAAGGGCCAGGGCCCCUGCAGGGCCAUUCCGCCAUGGGGGAGGCAGCUUCUGGGUGGGCCGCCCGUGCCAACUGCUUUCCAGCCUUUUGACACCUGUGUGGGAAACACAAGGGAAUCUUCAUAGCUGAGCUUCAGAAAACAAAAACACCCCUGGCCUCGCCUGCGACUGCUGCGGGCAGCACACUGCACACCAGCUAUCUGCUUCUUAGCUGCGCCACUCUGGAUCUGGAAUGUGGCAGUCUUGGUGUUGGUCCCCGGCGAGCUGUAUGACUUUGGGUUGGGAAAAUCGUUCAAGUUUUCUGAGCCUAGAAAACUCAGCCACAAGGAGGAAGGAAUGAAAGUAAAAAUUCACUUCACCUGUGUUCCUAUCAGCCAGCAAUAACUACUGUCAAAAUUUUGACUCCACUGAUGCCUCUCCUUUCCAAACUUGGUGUUUUCCACAGCCUGGGCCACAGCUUCUUUGAGCUGCUGUUCAGAGACCUAGAAAAUAUCAAUCAUCUCCUCAAACAAACAGUGGGAGCUCCUGCAUCAGGCUUCCAGCCCUGGACCAGCUCCCAAGCUGGGCCACUGGAUUCUGGAUUUUUGUCUUUCAACUUACUCUGCAAAUAGCUGACAAAUUCCAUUUCCAGAAAUACCCCGGGAAUCAAUGGUUCCUCAGUAUCUUCUAGAUAAAGUCCAAAGUCUAUCAAUGCAGGGGUUCCCAAGGAGGCCCCCUCAACUCUCCACCCUUCUCCCCAUUACUUGCUGGAAAAUUCUAGGCAAAGUUACCACUUCAUAGGUUAUCUCUAUGAGCUAGUCCAUUCUUGGCAAUGCUGUCAUGACAUCAUCAUUAUCAACAAUGUCGUAAUCAUCACAAUCACUGUUAUACUGUCUGAGCUGUGACUCACAGUUUAUCA